RNAcentral lists this ribosomal RNA (469 nucleotides) under Tetrahymena sp. BOLD:AAO5067. RNAcentral describes it as "SSU rRNA". It matches the Rfam family "Eukaryotic small subunit ribosomal RNA", at positions 1319 to 1831 of the family's 1831-position model. Lineage: Eukaryota; Ciliophora; Oligohymenophorea; Hymenostomatida; Tetrahymenidae. The record is from RNAcentral.
AGAAUUCCGUUACGACGAGACCUUAACUGCUAACAAGUCUGCUUGUAAAUAACAGGUUGUACUUCUUACAGGGACUAUUGUGCAAUAAGCCAAUGGAAGUUUAAGGCAAUAACAGGUCUGUGAUGCCCCUAGACGUGCUCGGCCGCACGCGCGUUACAAUGACUGGCGCAAAAAGUAUUUCCUGUCCUGGGAAGGUACGGGUAAUCUUAUUAAUACCAGUCGUGUUAGGGAUAGUUCUUUGGAAUUGUGGAUCUUGAACGAGGAAUUUCUAGUAAGUGCAAGUCAUCAGCUUGCGUUGAUUAUGUCCCUGCCGUUUGUACACACCGCCCGUCGCUUGUAGUAACGAAUGGUCUGGUGAACCUUCUGGACUGCGACAGCAAUGUUGCGGAAAAAUAAGUAAACCCUACCAUUUGGAACAACAAGAAGUCGUAACAAGGUAUCUGUAGGUGAACCUGCAGAUGGAUCAUUA